Molecule: ribosomal RNA, 1400 nt
Filed under: Limosilactobacillus fermentum
Lineage: Bacteria; Bacillati; Bacillota; Bacilli; Lactobacillales; Lactobacillaceae
Description: bacterial SSU rRNA
Rfam family: Bacterial small subunit ribosomal RNA
Source: RNAcentral
UUGAUUGAUGGUGCUUGCACCUGAUUGAUUUUGGUCGCCAACGAGUGGCGGACGGGUGAGUAACACGUAGGUAACCUGCCCAGAAGCGGGGGACAACAUUUGGAAACAGAUGCUAAUACCGCAUAACAGCGUUGUUCGCAUGAACAACGCUUAAAAGAUGGCUUCUCGCUAUCACUUCUGGAUGGACCUGCGGUGCAUUAGCUUGUUGGUGGGGUAACGGCCUACCAAGGCGAUGAUGCAUAGCCGAGUUGAGAGACUGAUCGGCCACAAUGGGACUGAGACACGGCCCAUACUCCUACGGGAGGCAGCAGUAGGGAAUCUUCCACAAUGGGCGCAAGCCUGAUGGAGCAACACCGCGUGAGUGAAGAAGGGUUUCGGCUCGUAAAGCUCUGUUGUUAAAGAAGAACACGUAUGAGAGUAACUGUUCAUACGUUGACGGUAUUUAACCAGAAAGUCACGGCUAACUACGUGCCCAGCAGCCGCGGUAAUACGUAGGUGGCAAGCGUUAUCCGGAUUUAUUGGGCGUAAAGAGAGUGCAGGCGGUUUUCUAAGUCUGAUGUGAAAGCCUUCGGCUUAACCGGAGAAGUGCAUCGGAAACUGGAUAACUUGAGUGCAGAAGAGGGUAGUGGAACUCCAUGUGUAGCGGUGGAAUGCGUAGAUAUAUGGAAGAACACCAGUGGCGAAGGCGGCUACCUGGUCUGCAACUGACGCUGAGACUCGAAAGCAUGGGUAGCGAACAGGAUUAGAUACCCUGGUAGUCCAUGCCGUAAACGAUGAGUGCUAGGUGUUGGAGGGUUUCCGCCCUUCAGUGCCGGAGCUAACGCAUUAAGCACUCCGCCUGGGGAGUACGACCGCAAGGUUGAAACUCAAAGGAAUUGACGGGGGCCCGCACAAGCGGUGGAGCAUGUGGUUUAAUUCGAAGCUACGCGAAGAACCUUACCAGGUCUUGACAUCUUGCGCCAACCCUAGAGAUAGGGCGUUUCCUUCGGGAACGCAAUGACAGGUGGUGCAUGGUCGUCGUCAGCUCGUGUCGUGAGAUGUUGGGUUAAGUCCCGCAACGAGCGCAACCCUUGUUACUAGUUGCCAGCAUUAAGUUGGGCACUCUAGUGAGACUGCCGGUGACAAACCGGAGGAAGGUGGGGACGACGUCAGAUCAUCAUGCCCCUUAUGACCUGGGCUACACACGUGCUACAAUGGACGGUACAACGAGUCGCGAACUCGCGAGGGCAAGCAAAUCUCUUAAAACCGUUCUCAGUUCGGACUGCAGGCUGCAACUCGCCUGCACGAAGUCGGAAUCGCUAGUAAUCGCGGAUCAGCAUGCCGCGGUGAAUACGUUCCCGGGCCUUGUACACACCGCCCGUCACACCAUGAGAGUUUGUAACACCCAAAGUCGGUGGGGU